CUCUCCUCUCUCUCUCCCCAUGUCUCUUACCCUCUCUCUGCAAUCUCCAUUGCCGCCCCUGGACUCUCUUUGUUCAGCUGCACCUUGCCUCCCGAGCUCGCCGGCGAAGUCGUCGAGAUGCCAGAAGCUCUCAUAGCUCCCCCCAAGUCCUAAUUUCCCUAGUUCCUCCUCAUUUCAGAGAUUGAAUUUCAAUCCAACCUUGACCCAACAUCCAAAAUAGCUAUGUUGGAGGCGAAGGAACGUGCGUUUUGGAGACAAAGGAGUGAACCUAGAAGGUAGAGAAGUAUCAAGGUGAAAUAUGCUUAUGUUCAUAAGCCUAAGAGGUUAGAGUUGAUAGUAUGUCAGUGGUGUUGCGCAGCUUUGCAUCUUUGGCGAGUCACUGGUGGUCAAUCUGGUUUAGUAGUCGUGGCAUGUUGUGAAAUAGUUUAAUCUUUAAUCUUCCGCUGGAUAAAUGUUAACUUUUUAAAUGUAAUAGAUUUUAAUUGUGCUUUUUAAGCUAAAAAGAAAAUAGGAAAAUUUCAGUACGGGUUGUCGAUACUGAAACGUGACAUCAUGUAUUCGGUGGGUUUACCUACCGGGUAAGGGGUAUUACAGGCAUGGAUAUGAAAUUGAUAUUUGCGCUUAUGCCGAGGUGGAUGUUGUUAUGAAAAUGAACUCGUAUGAUUUAUUCGAGUAUGUGUUAACCCGAUGGGUUGGAUGAAAUUA
Molecule: long non-coding RNA, 705 nt
Organism: Salvia splendens (bonfire salvia)
Lineage: Eukaryota; Viridiplantae; Streptophyta; Magnoliopsida; Lamiales; Lamiaceae
Exons: 3
Source: RefSeq, a predicted model, not a curated record